This 372-nucleotide ribosomal RNA is filed under the name uncultured organism. Its description in RNAcentral is "bacterial SSU rRNA". It matches the Rfam family "Bacterial small subunit ribosomal RNA", at positions 526 to 896 of the family's 1533-position model. The record is from RNAcentral.
CGUAGGUGGCAAGCGUUGUCCGGAGUUACUGGGUGUAAAGGGCGUGUAGGCGGGAAGAUAAGUCAGAUGUGAAAUUCCAUGGCUCAACUGUGGCGCUGCAUCUGAAACUAUUUUUCUUGAGUGAUGGAGAGGAAAGCGGAAUUCCUGGUGUAGCGGUGAAAUGCGUAGAUAUUAGGAGGAACACCAGUGGCGAAGGCGGCUUUCUGGACAUUAACUGACGCUGAGGCGCGAAAGCGUGGGGAGCAAACAGGAUUAGAUACCCUGGUAGUCCACGCUGUAAACGAUGGAUACUAGGUGUAGGAGGUAUCGACCCCUUCUGUGCCGGAGUUAACACAAUAAGUAUCCCACCUGGGGAGUACGGCCGCAAGGUUG